CGCCCAAUAUACACGCGAGGGGUUCGAACCCGAUCGGAGGGUUCGACCGCAUCGCCGGGAGCGAUGCGGCAUGAGCGCAGCGAACCCGCAGGGCGAGGCGCAGGGAAGCGCCGAGUUAUCCCUCGCUCUCCGCCA
Molecule: small RNA, 135 nt
Filed under: Gammaproteobacteria bacterium
Lineage: Bacteria; Pseudomonadati; Pseudomonadota; Gammaproteobacteria
Description: RtT sRNA
Rfam family: RtT RNA
About the family: This family represents a bacterial cis-regulatory element known as RtT RNA. The exact function of RtT is unknown although it is thought that it may be involved in changing the cellular response in relation to amino acid starvation.
Source: RNAcentral